GAUGAACGCUGGCGGUCUGCUUAACACAUGCAAGUCGAACGCAACCUUCGGGUUGAGUGGCGGACGGGUGAGUAACGCGUGAGAAUCUGCCUUGGGGUCGGGGACAACCACUGGAAACGGUGGCUAAUACCGGAUAAGCCUUAGGGUAAAAGAUUUAUUGCCCCAAGAGGAGCUCGCGUCUGAUUAGCUAGUUGGUGAGGUAAAAGCUCACCAAGGCAGCGAUCAGUARCUGGUCUGAGAGGMCGAUCAGCCACACUGGGACUGAGACACGGCCCAGACUCSUACGGGAGGCAAGCARUUGGGGAAUUUUCCGCAAUGGGCGAAAGCCUGACGGAGCAAGACCGCGUGAGGGRAGGAAGGCUCUUGGGUUGUAAACCUCUUUUCUCAGGGAAGAAGCUCUGACGGUACCUGAGGAAUCAGCCUCGGCUAACUCCGUGCCAGCAGSCGCGGUAAUACGGAGGAGGCAAGCGUUAUCCGGAAUUAUUGGGCGUAAAGCGUCCGCAGGUGGCGAUUCAAGUCUGCUGUCAAAGCACGGGGCUUAACUCCGUUAAGGCAGUGGAAACUGAAUAGCUAGAGUGCCGUAGGGGUAGAGGGAAUUCCCGGUGUAGCGGUGAAAUGCGUAGAGAUCGGGAAGAACAUCGGUGGCGAAAGCGCUCUACUGGACGGCAACUGACACUCAGGGACGAAAGCUAGGGGAGCGAAUGGGAUUAGAUACCCCAGUAGUCCUAGCUGGUAAACGAUGGAUACUAGGUGUAGCUUGUAUCGACCCGAGCUGUGCCGAAGCUA
This 786-nucleotide ribosomal RNA is filed under the name uncultured cyanobacterium. RNAcentral's name for it is "bacterial SSU rRNA". It matches the Rfam family "Bacterial small subunit ribosomal RNA", at positions 28 to 854 of the family's 1533-position model. The record is from RNAcentral. Lineage: Bacteria; Bacillati; Cyanobacteriota.